Molecule: ribosomal RNA, 2622 nt
Filed under: human gut metagenome
Description: bacterial LSU rRNA
Rfam family: Bacterial large subunit ribosomal RNA
Source: RNAcentral
UAAAGCAAGAAAGGGCGUAUGGGGAAUGCCUAGGCACACUCCGGCGAAGAAGGACGCAGCAAACAGCGAAAUGCGACGGUGAGCGGUAAGCACGUGAAGAGCCGUCGAUAUCCGAAUGGGGGAACCCACACGGAGUCAUAUCCGUGUAUCACAUGUCGAAUACAUAGACAUGAUGAGGCGAGACGCAGGGAACUGAAACAUCUAAGUACCUGCAGGAAGAGAAAAUAAGAAUGAUUUUCUGAGUAGCGGCGAGCGAAAGGGAAAGAGCCCAAACCGAUUUGAGGAUCGGGGUAGUAGGAUCAUCGAGAAAUCAAACAGAGGAUCAUAGAGGAAUCACAUGGGAAGGUGAGCGAGAGAGGGUGAGAGCCCCGUACUCGAAAUGAGAGACUGGAGAGAGAUGACACCUGAGUAGGGCGGGACACGAGAAAUCCUGUCUGAAUCAGCCGGGACCAUCCGGCAAGGCUAAAUACGAGAGAGUGACCGAUAGUGAACCAGUACCGUGAGGGAAAGGUGAAAAGAACCCCGGGAGGGGAGUGAAAGAGAACCUGAAACCAUAUGCCUACAAGAAGUCAGAGCCCGUUAAAGGGUGAUGGCGUGCCUUUUGUAGAAUGAACCGGCGAGUUACUGUAUGGAGCGAGGUUAAGCAGGAUAUGCGGAGCCGAAGCGAAAGCGAGUCUUAAGAGGGCGCGAGUUGCAUGCAGUAGACCCGAAACCGGGUGAUCUAGCCAUGACCAGGUUGAAGUUGGGGUAAAACCCGAUGGAGGACCGAACCGACCCCCGUUGAAACGUUGGCGGAUGAGUUGUGGCUAGGGGUGAAAUUCCAAUCGAACCCGGAGAUAGCUGGUUCUCCCCGAAAUAGCUUUAGGGCUAGCGUCGAGAGAAGAGUUGCGUGAAGGUAGAGCACUGAAUAUGUGAUGGCCCCAUCUCGGGGUACUGAGCAUAAUCAAACUGCGAAUGUCACGCCAACAUGCUCGGCAGUCAGACAGCGGGUGAUAAGGUCCGUUGUCAAGAGGGAAACAGCCCAGACCAUCAGCUAAGGUCCCAAAAUGUAUGCUAAGUGGAAAAGGAUGUGGAGAUGUACAGACAACUAGGAGGUUGGCUCAGAAGCAGCCAUCCUUUAAAGAGUGCGUAACAGCUCACUAGUCGAAUGACUCUGCGCCGAUAAUUUACCGGGGCUAAGCAUACUACCGAAGCUAUGGAUCCCAAGGGAUGGUAGGGGAGCGUUCCAUGAACGGAGAAGUACGACCGAAAGGACGUGUGGAGAUCAUGGAAGAGAGAAUGCCGGUGUGAGUAGCGGAACGUGGGUGAGAAUCCCACGCACCGAAAACCCAAGGUUUCCAGAGGAAGGUUCGUCCGCUCUGGGUAAGUCGGGACCUAAGGCGAGGCCGAAAGGCGUAGUCGAUGGACAACAGGUAGAGAUUCCUGUACCCGUAUAUAUGUGAAGGAAUGACGGAGAGAGGAAGCUGCAGCCAGCGGCUGGAAGAGCUGGUGCAAGCGAGAUAUCGGGAUGGCAGGCAAAUCCACCAUCCGAAACGAGAAGGCGUGAAGCGUACGGAAAGCUACGGCGAGUACGGAAGGCAGUGGAGGAACUUCCAAGAAAAGUUUCUAACGUUAAGUAUAUAUGGCCCGUACCGAAAAUGGACACACAUGGGUGAGGAGAGAAUCCUAAGGUGAGCGAGAGAACUAUAGCUAAGGAACUCUGCAAAAUGACUCCGUAACUUAGGGAGAAGGAGUGCUCAUAGAGAUAUGAGCCGCAGUGAAACGGCCCAAGCGACUGUUUACCAAAAACACAGCUCUCUGCUAAGCCGCAAGGCGAAGUAUAGGGGGUGACGCCUGCCCGGUGCUGGAAGGUUAAGGGGAGGGGUUAACGCAAGUGAAGCCCUGAACUGAAGCCCCAGUAAACGGCGGCCGUAACUAUAACGGUCCUAAGGUAGCGAAAUUCCUUGUCAGGUAAGUUCUGACCCGCACGAAUGGCGUAACGAUUUGGGCACUGUCUCAACAGCCCGCCCGGCGAAAUUGUAGUACCGGUGAAGAUGCCGGUUUCCCGCAACUAGACGGAAAGACCCCAUGGAGCUUCACUGUAGCUUGAUAUUGGAUCUCGGUAUUCCAUGUACAGGAUAGGUGGGAGGCUAGGAAGUAAGCGCGCCAGCGUUUAUGGAGCCAACCUUGGGAUACCACUCUUGGGAUAUUGGGAUUCUAACCUGCGACCAUGAAUCUGGUCGGGGGACACUGUCAGGUGGGCAGUUUGACUGGGGCGGUCGCCUCCAAAAGAGUAACGGAGGCGCUCAAAGGUUCGUUCAGCACGGAUGGAAAUCGUGCACUGAGUGUAAACGCAUAAACGAGCCUAACUGCGAGAAUGACGGUUCGAGCAGUAACGAAAGUUGGAGUUAGUGAUCCGGCGGUAUGUGAAUGGAAAUGCCGUCGCUCAACGGAUAAAAGCUACCCUGGGGAUAACAGGCUGAUCUCCCCCAAGAGUUCACAUCGACGGGGAGGUUUGGCACCUCGAUGUCGGCUCAUCGCAUCCUGGAGCUGAAGUCGGUUCCAAGGGUUGGGCUGUUCGCCCAUUAAAGCGGUACGCGAGCUGGGUUCAGAACGUCGUGAGACAGUUCGGUCCCUAUCUGU